GACGAACGCUGGCGGCGUGCUUAACACAUGCAAGUCGAACGGAAAGGCCCUGCUUGCCGGGUGCUCGAGUGGCGAACGGGUGAGUAACACGUGGGUGAUCUGCCCCUUACUUUGGGAUAAGCCUGGGAAACUGGGUCUAAUACUGGAUAGGACCAUGCUGUAGGUGGUGUGGUGGAAAGAUUAGUUUCGGUAAGGGAUGAGCUCGCGGCCUAUCAGCUUGUUGGUGGGGUAAUGGCCUACCAAGGCGUCGACGGGUAGCCGGCCUGAGAGGGUGGACGGCCACAUUGGGACUGAGAUACGGCCCAGACUCCUACGGGAGGCAGCAGUGGGGAAUAUUGAACAAUGGGCGCAAGCCUGAUGCAGCGACGCCGCGUGGGGGAUGACGGCCUUCGGGUUGUAAACUCCUUUCAGCCAUGACGAAGCCCUUGUGGUGACGGUAGUGGUAGAAGAAGCACCGGCUAACUACGUG
Molecule: ribosomal RNA, 469 nt
Filed under: uncultured bacterium
Lineage: Bacteria
Description: partial 16S ribosomal RNA
Rfam family: Bacterial small subunit ribosomal RNA
Source: RNAcentral